CUCAGGUUCAAGAGAAAAGGAGCUGCAAAGAACAGAAAACGGGAGUCUAAGACACUUACUUGACAAUAUCGACUUCUUGUUCCCCAUGUCGGCGACAUGUAUGGACACAGUUUUGCUUGUCUUAUCGUGGUCAUAAGCUACUAAAUGACAUCGAAUAUGUCAACUACAGUAAGAGAUUGUGAUGGAACGAGAUUGGCAAGUUUCCAAUUUAUGACCAAGAGUAGAUGGACAAAGUAAAAACUCACCGGAUGCGCUAUGUUGUUCAACUAGGUUACGUUGAAGGAACCAACAAAUAUACACCUCUAUUAAUUAUUAUUUUUUCGAAGUUUAGUAUGUCUGGUCUUAAUUUAGAACAUUUAUGUAAUUGGUUUUAU
Spinacia oleracea (spinach) is the source of this 374-nucleotide long non-coding RNA. RefSeq lists it as uncharacterized. The transcript is spliced from 3 exons. The record is from RefSeq and is a predicted model, not a curated record. NCBI's taxonomy places the organism in Eukaryota, Viridiplantae, Streptophyta, Magnoliopsida, Caryophyllales, Amaranthaceae.